CGAACGCUGGCGGCGUGCUUACCACAUGCACGUCGACCGGAAAGGCCCUACUUGCAGGGUACUCGAGUGGCGAACGGGUGAGUAACACGUGGGUGAUCUGCCCUGCACUUCGGGAUAAGCCUGGGAAACUGGGUCUAAUACCGGAUAGGAGCCAUUUUUAGUGUGAUGGUUGGAAAGUUUUUUCGGUGUAGGAUGAGCUCGCGGCCUAUCAGCUUGUUGGUGGGGUAAUGGCCUACCAAGGCGGCGACGGGUAGCCGGCCUGAGAGGGUGGACGGCCACAUUGGGACUGAGAUACGGCCCAGACUCCGACGGGAGGCAGCAGUGGGGAAUAUUGCACAAUGGGCGCAAGCCUGAUGCAGCGACGCCGCGUGGGGGAUGACGGCCUUCGGGUUGUAAACUCCUUUCGCUAGGGACGAAGCUUUUUGUGACGGUACCUAGAUAAGAAGCACCGGCUAACUACGUG
RNAcentral lists this ribosomal RNA (463 nucleotides) under uncultured bacterium. RNAcentral describes it as "partial 16S ribosomal RNA". It matches the Rfam family "Bacterial small subunit ribosomal RNA", at positions 30 to 507 of the family's 1533-position model. The record is from RNAcentral.